CGGGGUGCAGCAGGCGCGAAACCUCCGCAAUAGGCGGAAGCCUGACAGGGUUAUUUUGAGUGCUUUCCGAUAAGGGGAUCUUUUGGCACCUGUAAAAUCGGUGCAGAAUAAGGGGUGGGCAAGCCUGGUGUCAGCCGCCGCGGUAACACCAGCCCCCCGAGUGGUGGGGACGAUUAUUGGGCCUAAAGCAUCCGUAGCCGGCCAUGCAAGUCUUCCGGUAAAUCCGCCCUCUUAACGGUUGGGCUUCGGAGGAUACCAUGCGGCUAGGAGGCGGGAGAGGCAAGCGGUACUUAAUGGGUAGGGGUGAAAUCCUUUGAUCCCAGGAAGACCACCAGUGGCGAAGGCGGCUCACCAGAACGCGCUUGACGGUCAGGGAUGAAAGCUGGGGCAGCGAACCGGAUUAGAUACCCGGGUAGUCCCAGCUGUAAACGAUGCAGACUAGGUGUUGGGUUGGCCUCGAGCCAUCCCAGUGCCGCAGGGAAGCCGUUAAGUUUGCCGCCUGGGGAGUACGGUCGCAAGGCUGAAACUUAAAGGAAU
This 537-nucleotide ribosomal RNA is filed under the name uncultured archaeon. Its description in RNAcentral is "bacterial SSU rRNA". It matches the Rfam family "Archaeal small subunit ribosomal RNA", at positions 326 to 865 of the family's 1478-position model. The record is from RNAcentral.